GACGAACGCUGGCGGCGUGCCUAAUACAUGCAAGUCGAACGCUUCUUUCCUCCCGAGUGCUUGCACUCAAUUGGAAAGAGGAGUGGCGGACGGGUGAGUAACACGUGUGUAACCUACCCAUCAGAGGGGGAUAACACUUGGAAACAGGUGCUAAUACCGCAUAACAGUUUAUGCCGCAUGGCAUAAGAGUGAAAGGCGCUUUCGGGUGUCGCUGAUGGAUGGACCCGCGGUGCAUUAGCUAGUUGGUGAGGUAACGGCUCACCAAGGCCACGAUGCAUAGCCGACCUGAGAGGGUGAUCGGCCACACUGGGACUGAGACACGGCCCAGACUCCUACGGGAGGCAGCAGUAGGGAAUCUUCGGCAAUGGACGAAAGUCUGACCGAGCAACGCCGCGUGAGUGAAGAAGGUUUUCGGAUCGUAAAACUCUGUUGUUAGAGAAGAAAAAGGACGUUAGUAACUGAACGUCCCCUGACGGUAUCUAAACAGAAAGCCACGGCUAACUACGUG
This 508-nucleotide ribosomal RNA is filed under the name uncultured bacterium. Its description in RNAcentral is "partial 16S ribosomal RNA". It matches the Rfam family "Bacterial small subunit ribosomal RNA", at positions 28 to 507 of the family's 1533-position model. The record is from RNAcentral.